UAUAUUUUGGUGUAUGAUGCACAAAAGUUUUUGAUACUUUAAGAGGUAGUUUAAUUCUGCCAAAUAUAA
RNAcentral lists this transfer RNA (69 nucleotides) under Neurigona zhejiangensis. RNAcentral's name for it is "tRNA-Gln". The record is from RNAcentral. Lineage: Eukaryota; Metazoa; Arthropoda; Insecta; Diptera; Dolichopodidae.